This 78-nucleotide microRNA precursor is filed under the name Trichobilharzia regenti. RNAcentral describes it as "mir-3492 microRNA precursor family". It matches the Rfam family "mir-3492 microRNA precursor family". The record is from Rfam by way of RNAcentral. Lineage: Eukaryota; Metazoa; Platyhelminthes; Trematoda; Strigeidida; Schistosomatidae.
AGCCUAUUGUAUCCGCGUUGAGAUUUUGUCAGCAAUCGGUCCACUAGGGUUGAUGCAACUUCCGAAAUAAAUGAAGUG